Non-coding RNA from Parelaphostrongylus tenuis, 73 nucleotides. NCBI's taxonomy places the organism in Eukaryota, Metazoa, Nematoda, Chromadorea, Rhabditida, Metastrongylidae. The record is from the annotation of a GenBank genome assembly.
GCCUUGGUGGUGUAGCGGUAGAGCAUGUGUCCUCGGAUAGCAUGAAAAGCGGGUUUGAUUCCCGCCUGAGGCC